Molecule: long non-coding RNA, 1126 nt
Organism: Sycon ciliatum
Lineage: Eukaryota; Metazoa; Porifera; Calcarea; Leucosolenida; Sycettidae
Exons: 3
Source: RefSeq, a predicted model, not a curated record
GUCACAGUUCCUUCGAUACGCAUAACAACGAUCCCACUGGGGACAAACAAAAGUAGCGUCGUCUCCACCGACCCAGUUGUCAGUGGCAACAUAUAGGAAUCGUGUACAUUUCUUCGUUUCUUCUUUGCUGUUUUCAGUGAGUGUUUUGUUUUCUCUUUGUCCUUGAUCUCGACGAUGUUGUCGUGCUCAUUACCUUACUGAGACGUCUCUUGUGACUGUAGCCAGUAUCACGGAGGAUUUUAUUGGCGUGACAAGGUAGAUCGCCGAGAUCGAGCGUGAAAAACGCUCUGCAUUAGUAGCUCCUGUAGAAUGUUUUCUGGGUUGGCGUAUCCAUGGUCAACAAAACCAAGGUGCAAGACAGCAUGAGAGAUCGUGUAAACGAUGUGAACUCCAAAAGAUAAUCUGGCCAAAUUUAUUGUAACUAGAGAGUGCAAUCGUGCACUGCUUGGGGCCCAUCCCAAUGUCAUCACAUGGCUGUGGUGACUAGUGUAUAUCUGGGAGAAUUUUUCCUCGACUGGUACGGAGUGCAGGUGGAUCGAUUAUGAGAAAUGCGAACAUGUGAAGUUCAAGGCUAGAUGCACUUCACAUUCGGCGUGCGGUCUCAGCGUCUGGGACCUGAUGAAGUCUUGGUUGGAUGAUUAUUCAAGCCUGACACUACUCGACACACCAAUGUUCAUGUCAAUGUAAUUUUUUCAGAGCUGCACUAUUUACGUGUUGAUGCUUACUUCGGUGUUAGCGUGUUUCCCCCGGAUUGUUUCUAUCAUCAUGAUCGUGUGUUCUUGGGCUGAGCGAGCACAUGCACAAGUGUGCAGCUAUAACCCUGUGUAUCUUUGGUUACACUUUGUUCUGCAAUGCAUGUACCUUGUAACAUUAUGUGCUUGCACUGCUUUGUCUGGCCUGCGUAUUUCAGGACUAUUCAGUGCAUUAGACCCAGGUUUGUUCGGUUGCCGGAUGAUCUCUUGUUGCGUCGCUCUGUAUUUGUAUUCAUCAAUUUUUGGGCUUGAGAAUUGAGCUGUUGUGUGGUUCCCUAUAUGAAAACAUCAUGCUGGUGCUCUGUGUUUCGAUUAUCGACUGUCGGAGCAGUCAUGCAUUUAUUAGCAGAACGGUCAAUACUGUAGUCUUUUCA